CUUUCUUUGCUGGCGACCGGCGCACGGGUGAGUAACACGUAUCCAACCUGCCCUUUACUCGGGGAUAGCCUUUCGAAAGAAAGAUUAAUACCCGAUAGCAUAAUGAUUCCGCAUGGUUUCAUUAUUAAAGGAUUCCGGUAAAGGAUGGGGAUGCGUUCCAUUAGGUUGUUGGUGAGGUAACGGCUCACCAAGCCUUCGAUGGAUAGGGGUUCUGAGAGGAAGGUCCCCCACACUGGAACUGAGACACGGUCCAA
Molecule: ribosomal RNA, 254 nt
Filed under: uncultured bacterium
Lineage: Bacteria
Description: partial 16S ribosomal RNA
Rfam family: Bacterial small subunit ribosomal RNA
Source: RNAcentral